Molecule: ribosomal RNA, 1372 nt
Filed under: uncultured bacterium
Lineage: Bacteria
Description: bacterial SSU rRNA
Rfam family: Bacterial small subunit ribosomal RNA
Source: RNAcentral
GAUGAACGCUGGCGGCGUGCCUAAUACAUGCAAGUCGAGCGAACGGACGAGAAGCUUGCUUCUCUGAUGUUAGCGGCGGACGGGUGAGUAACACGUGGAUAACCUACCUAUAAGACUGGGAUAACUUCGGGAAACCGGAGCUAAUACCGGAUAAUAUUUUGAACCGCAUGGUUCAAAAGUAAAAGACGGUCUUGCUGUCACUUAUAGAUGGAUCCGCGCUGCAUUAGCUAGUUGGUAAGGUAACGGCUUACCAAGGCAACGAUGCAUAGCCGACCUGAGAGGGUGAUCGGCCACACUGGAACUGAGACACGGUCCAGACUCCUACGGGAGGCAGCAGUAGGGAAUCUUCCGCAAUGGGCGAAAGCCUGACGGAGCAACGCCGCGUGAGUGAUGAAGGUCUUCGGAUCGUAAAACUCUGUUAUUAGGGAAGAACAUAUGUGUAAGUAACUGUGCACAUCUUGACGGUACCUAAUCAGAAAGCCACGGCUAACUACGUGCCAGCAGCCGCGGUAAUACGUAGGUGGCAAGCGUUAUCCGGAAUUAUUGGGCGUAAAGCGCGCGUAGGCGGUUUUUUAAGUCUGAUGUGAAAGCCCACGGCUCAACCGUGGAGGGUCAUUGGAAACUGGAAAACUUGAGUGCAGAAGAGGAAAGUGGAAUUCCAUGUGUAGCGGUGAAAUGCGCAGAGAUAUGGAGGAACACCAGUGGCGAAGGCGACUUUCUGGUCUGUAACUGACGCUGAUGUGCGAAAGCGUGGGGAUCAAACAGGAUUAGAUACCCUGGUAGUCCACGCCGUAAACGAUGAGUGCUAAGUGUUAGGGGGUUUCCGCCCCUUAGUGCUGCAGCUAACGCAUUAAGCACUCCGCCUGGGGAGUACGACCGCAAGGUUGAAACUCAAAGGAAUUGACGGGGACCCGCACAAGCGGUGGAGCAUGUGGUCUAAUUCGAAGCAACGCGAAGAACCUUACCAAAUCUUGACAUCCUUUGACAACUCUAGAGAUAGAGCCUUCCCCUUCGGGGGACAAAGUGACAGGUGGUGCAUGGUUGUCGUCAGCUCGUGUCGUGAGAUGUUGGGUUAAGUCCCGCAACGAGCGCAACCCUUAAGCUUAGUUGCCAUCAUUAAGUUGGGCACUCUAAGUUGACUGCCGGUGACAAACCGGAGGAAGGUGGGGAUGACGUCAAAUCAUCAUGCCCCUUAUGAUUUGGGCUACACACGUGCUACAAUGGACAAUACAAAGGGCAGCGAAACCGCGAGGUCAAGCAAAUCCCAUAAAGUUGUUCUCAGUUCGGAUUGUAGUCUGCAACUCGACUACAUGAAGCUGGAAUCGCUAGUAAUCGUAGAUCAGCAUGCUACGGUGAAUACGUUCCCGGGUCU